Molecule: ribosomal RNA, 207 nt
Filed under: uncultured bacterium
Lineage: Bacteria
Description: partial 16S ribosomal RNA
Rfam family: Bacterial small subunit ribosomal RNA
Source: RNAcentral
CGUGUAGGCGGCUAGAUAAGUGAGAUGUGAAAGGUCUCGGCUCACCCGAGGACGUGCAUCUCAUACUGUUUGGCUUAAGUAUGGGAGAGGAUGGGGGAAUUCCUGGUGUAGCGGUGAAAUGCGUAGAUAUCAGGAGGAACACCAGUGGCGAAGGCGCCCAUCUGGCCCAAUACUGACGCUGAGGCGCGAAAGCUAGGGGAGCGAACG